UAGGGCUUUGUGUGAAGAUGUAAAUGUGUAGUAAGCAUUUCAUUUUGUGUGGGGGAAGGGGAGGAGGGUGAUGGCCCGAGACCACAAUUAAUGAUCCCAAAUAUAGUUCCCUUUCAUUAUAGCGUAUUUUUUGUUUAUUUUUCUUUUCUUUCCUUUUCUCAUACAUUUCUUGUUUUUUUCUGGGUUGAAAAUGAAAGAAGAGAGCUGAAAUAAACUUUUCAUGAAAGUAGAGGAGGACGCUGAUUUG
This 247-nucleotide long non-coding RNA is filed under the name Mytilus galloprovincialis (Mediterranean mussel). Lineage: Eukaryota; Metazoa; Mollusca; Bivalvia; Mytilida; Mytilidae. The record is from RNAcentral.